GCUCAGGUGGUGGAAUGGCAGACACGCAUGCUUGAGGUGCAUGUGCCGUAAGGUGUCCGGGUUCAAGUCCCGGCCUGAGCACCA
RNAcentral lists this transfer RNA (84 nucleotides) under Opitutia bacterium AMD-G3. Its description in RNAcentral is "Opitutae bacterium AMD-G3 tRNA-Leu". It matches the Rfam family "tRNA". Rfam says of the family: Transfer RNA (tRNA) molecules are approximately 80 nucleotides in length. Their secondary structure includes four short double-helical elements and three loops (D, anti-codon, and T loops). The record is from RNAcentral. Lineage: Bacteria; Pseudomonadati; Verrucomicrobiota; Opitutia. RNAcentral also lists the same sequence under 3 other names.